AAAAUCGGCUGCACUGUCCGCCAUUUUUGUCUCUCGCUUUGGAAAAUCUACUACCAUCUGGAGUUUUACACUUGAAGGUAAAUAAGAUUUUAAAGCUAACACACCAGUGAGAAAGAGUGUAGACCCUUUAUAUAUGUGGACUUUUACUGGGGUGUUGUUAUUUUACAGGUAUGUGGGCUGUUUAUCGAAAACCAUGAAAGGCCAAUGUUAGGCUCCAGUUAGCUAAUGGUAACCGAAAUUAUGCGAUAAGCAAAUUAGUAAUUAACAUAUAUAAUGUGAGUUAAUAUUGUUUGUAUAUUCUUUCAGUCUAAAUUAACAGACUAUUACAAACUUGCAUCGGUGUCUGUAGUAAGUGGAGGUACCUGCAGUGUCUUAACCAUUAAACAAGCUAAUGUAGGGCCGGGAUAUGACUAGUUUGUUGAAACAUGUCUGCUGCCAAUGUGACUGCGCACACAUUGUAACAUUACCAGCACAUAGCCACAGCCGCUAUAAACAUGCUAAAAGAUCAGUCUAGCUUCUGUAGUCAGCAGCUGGAAGACUCAACACAGACACAAGAUUCAGUGUAAUGGUUAUCUAAAUGUUGUGUGUCCUGUUUGUAAGCCCAGAAAAAGAAAUUAAAUAAAAUGACGACCUUGAGCUUCAAGCUAAUGUAAGCGUAAUGCUAUAGCAUAAAGCUAAUGCAAUGAUGAGGUUGUUAAAUUAGUAAAAAUACAGUAAAUAUAUCCAACAUGAAUCAUUUAUAUUUUUGGUCUAAACAUAAUUAAGUCUCACGCCUUUCACUUGUUUUAGAAGGAUGUUCAGUCUUUUAAAACCAGUCAUGUCAAAAUAACAGAAAAUAGUUAUGUUUUCUGUUGAAACUCCACCCCCCAGGGUGUGUUCUGCGAGGGAAAAUUCAGUGUGGCGGUCCGCCAUUUUUUGUCUUCGCUUCGUUUACCUUUGGUGCUGAGCUUUACUUUGUCGAGAUAAAUGCAGAGUUUAAGUGCAUUACCACCAUGCCACUGCAGUCCAGAUUACUCUCGCAGAUAGAUGUGCUAUCUGAAAAACUAAUAAAGGUCUUCAAAAGGUGAGGAGGACAAAUAGGAAGAAGACUUCAGAACAUUCUGGAGCCCACGGCCCAGGCCACAGAUGAAGCCAUUAUCCAACGAUCUAAUAAGGAAACAACCAUGGGAAUUUACAUCAUAAAGACAAGAGAUGCCAAUGGCAGCCCUGAGGACAUCGGGAUAGUCCUUGAAGGCCAGAGAGUCUGGCAGGAUUUGGAUAACUAUACCCUAGCAGCUGCAAUGCUGUUUGGACUAAUGUACACUUUGAACCUCACCUACCCACUGGAAAAGUAUACCUUCGAGGUAUUAUAGAAACUGGUUAUGGAGCUCAAAAGGAACAGCCUUUCAAAGAAGGCCCAGGUUUUCAGGACCAGACUGUACGAUUGAACAGUUUUCCAGUUAUGAUGUGGGAACAACAUGUUUACCUCUUCGAAUAUGUACCAUCCUUUCUUUUAAGCCAGCACUGGUAAAGUUGCAGUACA
Oreochromis niloticus (Nile tilapia) is the source of this 1522-nucleotide long non-coding RNA. RefSeq lists it as uncharacterized. The record is from RefSeq and is a predicted model, not a curated record. The transcript is spliced from 3 exons. Lineage: Eukaryota; Metazoa; Chordata; Actinopteri; Cichliformes; Cichlidae.